CCGUGUACGUACAAGCAGUGGGAGCACCCUUUGGGUGUGACUGCGUACCUUUUGUAUAAUGGGUCAGCGACUUAUAUUCUGUAGCAAGGUUAACCGAAUAGGGGAGCCGGAGGGAAACCGAGUCUUAACCGGGCGUUAAGUUGCAGGGUAUAGACCCGAAACCCGGUGAUCUAGCCAUGGGCAGGUUGAAGGUUGGGUAACACUAACUGGAGGACCGAACCGACUAAUGUUGAAAAAUUAGCGGAUGACCUGUGGCUGGGGGUGAAAGGCCAAUCAAACCGGGAGAUAGCUGGUUCUCCCCGAAAGCUAUUUAGGUAGCGCCUCGUGAAUUCAUCUCCGGGGGUAGAGCACUGUUUCGGCUAGGGGGCCAUCCCGGCUUACCAACCCGAUGCAAACUGCGAAUACCGGAGAAUGUUAUCACGGGAGACACACGGCGGGUGCUAACGUCCGUCGUGAAGAGGGAAACAACCCAGACCGCCAGCUAAGGUCCCAAAGUCAUGGUUAAGUGGGAAACGAUGUGGGAAGGCCCAGACAGCCAGGAUGUUGGCUUAGAAGCAGCCAUCAUUUAAAGAAAGCGUAAUAGCUCACUGGUCGAGUCGGCCUGCGCGGAAGAUGUAACGGGGCUAAACCAUGCACCGAAGCUGCGGCAGCGACACUGUGUGUUGUUGGGUAGGGGAGCGUUCUGUAAGCCUGUGAAGGUGUGUCGUGAGGCAUGCUGGAGGUAUCAGAAGUGCGAAUGCUGACAUAAGUAACGAUAAAGCGGGUGAAAAGCCCGCUCGCCGGAAGACCAAGGGUUCCUGUCCAACGUUAAUCGGGGCAGGGUGAGUCGACCCCUAAGGCGAGGCCGAAAGGCGUAGUCGAUGGGAAACGGGUUAAUAUUCCCGUACUUGGUGUUACUGCGAAGGGGGGACGGAGAAGGCUAUGUUGGCCGGGCGACGGUUGUCCCGGUUUAAGCGUGUAGGUGUGUGUUCCAGGUAAAUCCGGUUCACUUUAACACUGAGGCGUGACGACGAGGCACUACGGUGCUGAAGCAACAAAUGCCCUGCUUCCAGGAAAA
RNAcentral lists this ribosomal RNA (1057 nucleotides) under Salmonella enterica subsp. enterica serovar Enteritidis. RNAcentral's name for it is "partial 23S ribosomal RNA". It matches the Rfam family "Bacterial large subunit ribosomal RNA", at positions 556 to 1616 of the family's 2925-position model. Lineage: Bacteria; Pseudomonadati; Pseudomonadota; Gammaproteobacteria; Enterobacterales; Enterobacteriaceae. The record is from RNAcentral.